This 279-nucleotide unclassified non-coding RNA is filed under the name plant metagenome. RNAcentral's name for it is "partial contains small subunit ribosomal RNA, internal transcribed spacer 1, and 5.8S ribosomal RNA". The record is from RNAcentral.
UCUCCGUAGGUGAACCAGCGGAGGGAUCAUUAAAGAGUUUUCACAACUCCCAACCCUUGCGAACCGUACCCAUUCUGUUCUCGUUGCUUCCGGCGGGGGCGACGGGGGGGCCCGAAACGGCCUCCCCGCCCCGCCCCCCGGGGGCGGCGGGCCGUACGACCCCUUAUAUCUCAACCACCAGAAACCGUCUGAGAAAACAAAUCAAAUAACCAAAACUUUCAACAACGGAUCUCUUCGCCCCUGCAUCGUAGAAGAACGGCGUAGAUCGGCAGAGAACAC